GAUGAACGCUGGCGGCGUGCCUAAUACAUGCAAGUCGAGCGAACGGGCGAGAAGCUUGCUUCUCUGAUGUUAGCGGCGGACGGGUGAGUAACACGUGGAUAACCUACCUAUAAGACUGGGAUAACUUCGGGAAACCGGAGCUAAUACCGGAUGAUAUUUUGAACCGCAUGGUUCAAAAGUGAAAGACGGUCUUGCUGUCACUUAUAGAUGGAUCCGCGCUGCAUUAGCUAGUUGGUAAGGUAACGGCGUACCAAGGCAACGAUGCAUAGCCGACCUGAGAGGGUGAUCGGCCACACUGGAACUGAGACACGGUCCAGACUCCUACGGGAGGCAGCAGUAGGGAAUCUUCCGCAAUGGGCGAAAGCCUGACGGAGCAACGCCGCGUGAGUGAUGAAGGUCUUCGGAUCGUAAAACUCUGUUAUUAGGGAAGAACAUAUGUGUAAGUAACUGUGCACAUCUUGACGGUACCUAAUCAGAAAGCCACGGCUAACUACGUG
RNAcentral lists this ribosomal RNA (497 nucleotides) under uncultured bacterium. RNAcentral's name for it is "partial 16S ribosomal RNA". It matches the Rfam family "Bacterial small subunit ribosomal RNA", at positions 28 to 507 of the family's 1533-position model. The record is from RNAcentral.